UUGCCCUAGUAACGGCGAGUGAAGCGGCAACAGCUCAAAUUUGAAAUCUGGCCUCGUGCCCGAGUUGUAAUUUGUAGAGGAUGCUUUUGGCGACGCGCCUUCCGAGUUCCCUGGAACGGGACGCCAUAGAGGGUGAGAGCCCCGUCCGGUCGUGCGCCUAGCCUCUGUAAAGCUCCUUCGACGAGUCGAGUAGUUUGGGAAUGCUGCUCUAAAUGGGAGGUAUACGUCUUCUAAAGCUAAAUACCGGCCAGAGACCGAUAGCGCACAAGUAGAGUGAUCGAAAGAUGAAAAGCACUUUGAAAAGAGGGUUAAAUAGUACGUGAAAUUGCUGAAAGGGAAGCGCUUAUGACCAGACUUGGGCGCGGCGGAUCAUCCGGCGUUCUCGCCGGUGCACUCCACCGCCCCAGGCCAGCAUCAGUUCGCGCCGGGGGACAAAGGCUUCGGGAAUGUGGCUCCCUCGGGAGUGUUAUAGCCCGUUGCGUAAUACCCUGGUGCGGACUGAGGUCCGCGCUCUGCAAGGAUGCUGGCGUAAUGGUCAUCAGUGACCCGUCUUGAAACACGGACCAAGGAGUCGUCUUCGUAUGCGAGUGUUCGGGUGUCAAACCCCUACGCGGAAUGAAAGUGAACGUAGGAGAGAGCUUCGGCGCAUCUCCGACCGAUCCUGAUGUUCUCGGAUGGAUUUGAGUAAGAGCAUACGGGGCCGGACCCGAAAGAAGGUGAACUAUGCCUGUGUAGGGUGAAGCCAGAGGAAACUCUGGUGGAGGCUCGCAGCGGUUCUGACGUGCAAAUCGAUCGUCAAACAUGGGCAUGGGGGCGAAAGACUAAUCGAACCUUCUAGUAGCUGGUUUCCGCCGAAGUUUCCCUCAGGAUAGCAGUGUUGAACUCAGUUUUAUGAGGUAAAGCGAAUGAUUAGGGACCCGGGGGCGCUAUAUUGCCUUCAUCCAUUCUCAAACUUUAAAUAUGUAAGAAGCUCUUGUUGCUUAGUUGAACGUGAGCAUUCGAAUGUAUCAACACUAGUGGGCCAUUUUUG
RNAcentral lists this ribosomal RNA (1030 nucleotides) under Acremonium potronii. Its description in RNAcentral is "partial large subunit ribosomal RNA". It matches the Rfam family "Eukaryotic large subunit ribosomal RNA", at positions 75 to 1139 of the family's 3401-position model. Lineage: Eukaryota; Fungi; Ascomycota; Sordariomycetes; Hypocreales; Bionectriaceae. The record is from RNAcentral.